CAGCAGCCACGGGAAUACGUAGGUGGCAAGCGUUGUCCGGAAUUAUUGGGCGUAAAGGGCUCGCAGGCGGUUUCUUAAGUCUGAUGUGAAAGCCCCCGGCUCAACCGGGGAGGGUCAUUGGAAACUGGGAAACUUGAGUGCAGAAGAGGAGAGUGGAAUUCCACGUGUAGCGGUGAAAUGCGUAGAGAUGUGGAGGAACACCAGUGGCGAAGGCGACUCUCUGGUCUGUAACUGACGCUGAGGAGCGAAAGCGUGGGGAGCGAACAGGAUUAGAUACCCGCGUAGUCUCUGUCUCUUAUAU
RNAcentral lists this ribosomal RNA (301 nucleotides) under uncultured bacterium. Its description in RNAcentral is "partial 16S ribosomal RNA". It matches the Rfam family "Bacterial small subunit ribosomal RNA", at positions 509 to 809 of the family's 1533-position model. The record is from RNAcentral.